GGAGAGGUGGCCGAGUGGCUUAAGGCACAUCUUUGCUAAAGAUGCGUAGGAGUGAUCCUACCGGGGGUUCGAAUCCCCCCCUCUCCGCCA
This 90-nucleotide transfer RNA is filed under the name Opitutaceae bacterium. Its description in RNAcentral is "tRNA-Ser". It matches the Rfam family "tRNA". From Rfam's summary of the family: Transfer RNA (tRNA) molecules are approximately 80 nucleotides in length. Their secondary structure includes four short double-helical elements and three loops (D, anti-codon, and T loops). Lineage: Bacteria; Pseudomonadati; Verrucomicrobiota; Opitutia; Opitutales; Opitutaceae. The record is from RNAcentral.